Manis pentadactyla (Chinese pangolin) is the source of this 1830-nucleotide long non-coding RNA. RefSeq lists it as uncharacterized. Lineage: Eukaryota; Metazoa; Chordata; Mammalia; Pholidota; Manidae. The record is from RefSeq and is a predicted model, not a curated record. The transcript has 3 exons.
GCAAUGUGCUCAUGUCUCCUCUGAUUUUCUUACUGUGGCUGUCACCUCCACUAUGGAAAGAAAAAUGAACGAUAAUGUUGUGAUGGGCUGGGCUACCAUGUUAUACCCUAUUUACAGGUCUGCAUCUGUGGUGACCAUCUCCCAUUUGGAAAAUUAACUGCUUCCGGACAUUGAGUGUGGCACAGCAUUCUCCCAGGCGGUGAAGCCACCAGGAGACUUACUUGUUUAUCAUUUCAAAAGGGAGAGGAGGGAGAAAAGCUGCAUGUCUCUGAUGUACAACACAGUGUUAGACAAGGAAAUUUUGGCCCACUUUAUGAUGUUUUGAAUCCUAAUACAUUGUAGAGUGGGGCCAUUGAAGGCCAACACUCCUUUGAAGACUGAUUUUGCCUCUUGUGUCCAUUGACUACUGUCAAAGAAUGAAUCCCUCGUGAAGGAGAAUUCCAGAGAGAUAAACACAGAGAGCAUGAAAGAAACACUGAAUGCUAAAAUAGCUAUUUUUUGAAUGUUUGACAUGAGCAAUUUCUUUCAUCUAUACACACACUCAUUCUAAGAUGCCUCAUUAGCUAGAAAAAAGGCACAUUUAACAAGUGCAAACCAUUAGUGAUGCUGAUUCUUCAAAUCUCUGGGGUUACCAAAUUAUUCAAGAUGGAGCUAAAAAACUGCAAAUAAAAGUUGUGUGAUUUAUUUCAGUUUGUUCUGAGUUAGACAAUAAAGUGCUUAAGAUCUAUAUUAUCAAAUAAAAUCGUGGAUUGAUUAUACCUAUUGCUUAUCUUAAUGCAUCUUAUUAAAUAUUUAACAUUUUCUAUUACCUGCUAGUAAAAAUAAAAAGGUGUAUACUAGCUGCUGAACUGAUUAGGUUUGUUUUUAGCAGUGUAUAUCUUUCUCUGUUAAUAAGUGGAGUAAUAAAUGUCUAAUAAUGUUUAGUAAAUUAUUUCUGGUUUUUUGAUGUAGAAUUUUAUGUAUUUUUUCACAAAAGCUGAACACCAGAGUUUGAUAACACACACACGCUGGAAAAAUACUAUUAUUUUGACCAUACUUAGUGCUUCAUAAAAAACAUAAUUUUUGCCACCCAUUACUUUCCAUUAUUGCAAACUAAGGAAACAGAGCACAUUGAUAAAUCAUCUUUUACAACUUUUAAAACCAGGGAUAACUAGUUACAUAGAUCUACAUCACUUUAAUAUUGACUUGGUUGUUAUUUUCCAUAAAUCAAAUUAGCUCAAUCUAUGGGUCCUAUGUUUUGACAAAAAAAGAAAAGAAACACAGUGAUAUUAAACUAUUUUGUCAAAAAGUAUUGCAUUGGUAAAAAUAUAUUGAGAUUACCACUAUUUCUAUUUUUCUUAAACCUUUUUUUGUAUGUUGGCUUAAACAAGGUGGUUUUAAGUGAAUGAGUAAAAGGCACACUUAUUUGCUAAGUCUUGCAAAAGCAUUUUUGCUACACUUAUUAGAAAAUUAAAAGGCAAAUGACUAUUGCGAGGCAGCUGGUUUCUUAUUCUUUAUUGCAACUAUACUGAAGAAGUUAUUCGAGUUGUCAUCUGUUGAUUAAAAAUGACUUUGCAAGAAUAUAAUUUGGCAUAUAAUUCAGGAGUAACUCAAAGAAGUGACAUUUGAAUAACAGAACUCCUUGUUGUUCUGGCCUCCUUGUUAUGUGGACAAAUUUCUCAGUCCUUCUAUUAAAAGAAAAAUGGAACACAAUGGGUUCUGAAAUUCUAUCUUGGUGGCAGUAGACACAUGAAUUCAUUAGAAAAUUAAAUCUAGUUCUUAAUACAUUUCUAAUAAAAUUUUACUUUUUAUGUAACGUAUUAUUAAUGUUUUGGUCAACUGUGUACUAAA